This 425-nucleotide ribosomal RNA is filed under the name uncultured bacterium. RNAcentral describes it as "partial 16S ribosomal RNA". It matches the Rfam family "Bacterial small subunit ribosomal RNA", at positions 354 to 796 of the family's 1533-position model. The record is from RNAcentral.
GUGGGGAAUCUUGCGCAAUGGGCGAAAGCCUGACGCAGCCAUGCCGCGUGAAUGAUGAAGGUCUUAGGAUUGUAAAAUUCUUUCACCGGGGACGAUAAUGACGGUACCCGGAGAAGAAGCCCCGGCUAACUUCGUGCCAGCAGCCGCGGUAAUACGAAGGGGGCUAGCGUUGCUCGGAAUUACUGGGCGUAAAGGGCGCGUAGGCGGACAGUUUAGUCAGAGGUGAAAGCCCAGGGCUCAACCUUGGAAUUGCCUUUGAUACUGGCUGUCUUGAGUACGGGAGAGGAGAGUGGAACUCCGAGUGUAGAGGUGAAAUUCGUAGAUAUUCGGAAGAACACCAGUGGCGAAGGCGACUCACUGGCCCGUUACUGACGCUGAGGCGCGAAAGCGUGGGGAGCAAACAGGAUUAGAAACCCCUGUAGUCC